This 301-nucleotide ribosomal RNA is filed under the name uncultured bacterium. Its description in RNAcentral is "partial 16S ribosomal RNA". It matches the Rfam family "Bacterial small subunit ribosomal RNA", at positions 509 to 809 of the family's 1533-position model. The record is from RNAcentral.
CAGUAGCCGCGGGAAUACGUAGGUGGCAAGCGUUGUCCGGAAUUAUUGGGCGUAAAGGGCUCGCAGGCGGUUUCUUAAGUCUGAUGUGAAAGCCCCCGGCUCAACCGGGGAGGGUCAUUGGAAACUGGGAAACUUGAGUGCAGAAGAGGAGAGUGGAAUUCCACAUGUAGCGGUGAAAUGCGUAGAGAUGUGGAGGAACACCAGUGGCGAAGGCGACUCUCUGGUCUGUAACUGACGCUGAGGAGCGAAAGCGUGGGGAGCGAACAGGAUUAGAGACCCGCGUAGUCCCUGUCUCUUAUAA